RNAcentral lists this long non-coding RNA (706 nucleotides) under Ananas comosus (pineapple). Its description in RNAcentral is "long non-coding RNA (ACOM_LNC043607)". Lineage: Eukaryota; Viridiplantae; Streptophyta; Magnoliopsida; Poales; Bromeliaceae. The record is from RNAcentral.
UAGACUUAGUGGGUGGACCGAUGUUGUUUUGGGCGGUACCCACUGAGGACUACUUGUUUUUACAGUAGUUCUCACGCCCAGUUGUUACCCCUGUUUUGCAGAGCCACAGGUUUCGGCUGCUGCGCCUUCCGCGGAUCAGGAUCGAGGCAAGGGCGUCGCGAGUUAGAGCCCUACCCGACGUGCUGAGCUAGAGGUGCCCCUACUGCAGGUAGAUGUUUUGUUUCGAGUUUAUGUACAUAGUGGACCUAACUCGCCAGUGCGAGUAGCUUUGUAUUUUGGAUUUGGACUAUGUAUAUGAAACUCAGCUGGUUUAGUUUCUGUUUUCUCUAGCAGCUCCCUACUACUGUUCGUAGUAGUGUUUGAUUUACAGGUACAGCUAUCGCUUCGUAUACAGGGGAAAUUCCUUUGUAUACGGCGGAUUUGUCGGCGUGCCCGGGGAAAGUGUAAUCCGGGGCGUGACACGCGCGCGGUGCAACCGGUCUCUCUUUGGGGGACCGGUCUCUCGGGGACCGGUCUCUCAGGCAGGGACCGGUUCCCGAGAGCUAAUUUCUCAGGACUUAGCCGAUUUUUCGGCUGUCUCAACUCAUACGCGUUCGGGGACCGGUCUCUCCCACCAGGGACCGGUCCCCGAGAGCUCAAAACUGCAGAAUGCAGAUUUUGGUCCUUUAGCUCUCGAAAACCUCCUUUAACUCACUUUUGAUCAUUU